This 849-nucleotide ribosomal RNA is filed under the name Escherichia coli. RNAcentral's name for it is "partial 23S ribosomal RNA". It matches the Rfam family "Bacterial large subunit ribosomal RNA", at positions 344 to 1197 of the family's 2925-position model. Lineage: Bacteria; Pseudomonadati; Pseudomonadota; Gammaproteobacteria; Enterobacterales; Enterobacteriaceae. The record is from RNAcentral.
GGAAAGGCGCGCGAUACAGGGUGACAGCCCCGUACACAAAAAUGCACAUGCUGUGAGCUCGAUGAGUAGGGCGGGACACGUGGUAUCCUGUCUGAAUAUGGGGGGACCAUCCUCCAAGGCUAAAUACUCCUGACUGACCGAUAGUGAACCAGUACCGUGAGGGAAAGGCGAAAAGAACCCCGGCGAGGGGAGUGAAAAAGAACCUGAAACCGUGUACGUACAAGCAGUGGGAGCACGCUUAGGCGUGUGACUGCGUACCUUUUGUAUAAUGGGUCAGCGACUUAUAUUCUGUAGCAAGGUUAACCGAAUAGGGGAGCCGAAGGGAAACCGAGUCUUAACUGGGCGUUAAGUUGCAGGGUAUAGACCCGAAACCCGGUGAUCUAGCCAUGGGCAGGUUGAAGGUUGGGUAACACUAACUGGAGGACCGAACCGACUAAUGUUGAAAAAUUAGCGGAUGACUUGUGGCUGGGGGUGAAAGGCCAAUCAAACCGGGAGAUAGCUGGUUCUCCCCGAAAGCUAUUUAGGUAGCGCCUCGUGAAUUCAUCUCCGGGGGUAGAGCACUGUUUCGGCAAGGGGGUCAUCCCGACUUACCAACCCGAUGCAAACUGCGAAUACCGGAGAAUGUUAUCACGGGAGACACACGGCGGGUGCUAACGUCCGUCGUGAAGAGGGAAACAACCCAGACCGCCAGCUAAGGUCCCAAAGUCAUGGUUAAGUGGGAAACGAUGUGGGAAGGCCCAGACAGCCAGGAUGUUGGCUUAGAAGCAGCCAUCAUUUAAAGAAAGCGUAAUAGCUCACUGGUCGAGUCGGCCUGCGCGGAAGAUGUAACGGGGCUAAACCAUGCACCGA